GAAGGUAUAGCUUAGUGGUAGAGACAGUGCCUAGCAUGCAUGAGGUCCUGAGUUCAAUCCCCAGUAGCUCCG
Molecule: transfer RNA, 72 nt
Filed under: Camelus bactrianus (Bactrian camel)
Lineage: Eukaryota; Metazoa; Chordata; Mammalia; Artiodactyla; Camelidae
Also listed under: 2 other names
Rfam family: tRNA
About the family: Transfer RNA (tRNA) molecules are approximately 80 nucleotides in length. Their secondary structure includes four short double-helical elements and three loops (D, anti-codon, and T loops).
Source: Rfam by way of RNAcentral